AUCUUUGCCGCAUUGCUUCCGCCUUCACUCCAGCUGAUCGGCCUUGAUUACCUGGUGUGGUCCGUCGGACUUUCCGCGACCGUUAAUUAUAAAUUAUCAAUUAAAAACUGUAUGGUUGACAGCGGCCGCUAGUUUCGGGAAAACACUCCAUGUUCGUUGACAUUUUCAUCCGGAUAUUUUUUAUUAAAUUUUUUACUGUGGAUGUUAUUUCUUUAGUUCGUGUCUUGGAAUCUCUUUACAGUACCAUAACUAGGCCGCAACCCAAUCCCCGGUGUCACCUACGUGCAUUUAACGUUAACUAGCCAUCGACUGGAGACAACCAUGGGGGACACAGGCAGUGAACGAAGCAAGCCGCCACCACGCUGUUCCUGUGGAUUUUGGGGACCUCCCAAACCCAUCCAGUAUGGUUCUCUUGGCAUCCUGGAACUUCUGGUGGAUGCAAAGGACUACGCAGGCUGCAGCACUACUCUGUUCCUAUGGCACAGAUAGACCUAGCACCAACUAACAAAGCUCAUAUAGGCCAGAUACCUGUAAUUAAUAGCAUGUCUUCUAUUUGUCAUACAGUCAAUCACAAGUAGACCCUGUCCAUUGACAAUUCCCACUAAGUGUUAAAGGGCAUUGUUUAGCCAUUACAUGUACUGAAAAUGUAUAUACACCCAAGAUUGUUCUGCUAUGGGGGAAAAAAGGGAUAUUACUUUUUUCAGUGUAGUGGUUGAACCAUGCCCUAUAAGUUAUUUUAGUAGGAAUUGUCAAUGGGUUGGUGCUAUCUGUGAUUUGAAUGUAUGACUUUGUGUAGGGGCAGUUGUCACCAACCUUCCUGGAGAUAUAUAUUCUCCGGUAAAUUUUCUUCCCAACCAUCACAAGAGAUUCUGUCAAGCAAGUUCUUGUUGAGAAGCUACGUGACAUUUUGUGUGCAAUACUAACUCCUCCACCUUUCCUGUCAUGGGAUGAGAUUAUAGUUGUGUGUAGUGAUGUUGGUGUUUGAGAAAGCAGGUGAUGACAAUGUAAAUAAAAACAACUUUUUGUACUUUAA
This is a long non-coding RNA of Salvelinus namaycush (lake trout), 1033 nucleotides long. RefSeq lists it as uncharacterized. Lineage: Eukaryota; Metazoa; Chordata; Actinopteri; Salmoniformes; Salmonidae. The record is from RefSeq and is a predicted model, not a curated record. The transcript is spliced from 2 exons.